AAAAGCAAACUGAGGGCCAUUAUCUUACGAUAGUUAAUUAAUUCAUCGAGUAGGCUAUCCAUUUCUUCUUCAAAGUUAAAAGUUUUUACUGUUUAUCACCACUGCCACCUCUUGUUGCCCGCUGUCCUCCGCUCGCGGACUCCGAACUUCCGGCUGGUGACUCUGUGACUGGUCGUAGAUGAAUUUACAGGUGGUAGAUGAACGUCAGUCGGUUUUGAGAAAUUGUUUAGAUAAAGAUUAGGUUAAUUGUAUUGUAUUUAUAUAUUUGUUUUGAGAGUUUUUUGUGUAAAAGUUAAGUUUAUUUGUAUUAUUCUGAUAUCUCUAUUAUCAUAUUAUUUUGUUAUAGUUUACAGAUGGUGGAUGAUUGUCAGAAGACUUUGAGGAAACUUUUGUGUAAAUGUUAAAUUUAAUUAUAUUAUUUUGA
Molecule: long non-coding RNA, 424 nt
Organism: Capsicum annuum
Lineage: Eukaryota; Viridiplantae; Streptophyta; Magnoliopsida; Solanales; Solanaceae
Exons: 2
Source: RefSeq, a predicted model, not a curated record